ACGGUGCACGGCUUGUCCCCUGGCUGAGUGAGUCGGUGGCCUGACCCUGCUUUCUCACGUCUGGGCGGGUUCAUCACCUGCUCCAGCUCUGAAGCAGGUUCAGCGAUGGAUGUGUACUGAAUGGAGCGGCAGCCUCGGUGGUGGCUGGCAGCUGUCUCAGAGCCAGGCUGCAAUUCAUCAUGCAGAUGAAGGAGGGAGAGAGCCUGGAGGAAUGGGAACCCAUUUUGGGAGUCUCCUUCUCCACUACUGAUUUCUCACCAGACAAGUGGACAAAGAGCCAAACAGAGCGAUUGGGAUCUCACCUGUCAUUCCACCCGCUCCUCCUUAAAAGGCUGAUGAAGUCCCAGAAAAGUACAUCACCAAUGGCAACACCACUUGUGAUGUGUGAGUCGCCGAUACUACAGACUUGUGGGUCAGCUGGAUUGCAGCAGCAUGAUUCUAUAUAAAGGAGGUGAGAGACUUCUAAAAGGACAACGUGAAGGAGGCAGAUGGCAACGUGAGAAGAAGAGGCUGGAACUAUGUCAGAGCCUGAUUUGCAGAAAUCUGAAAGAAGAUAUUUCCUUGACCUGAAGCUGAGAUGAAUCGUAAGUCAGGAGCAGACCCAUGACAUUAGAAGCAUCCAGUUGUCCCAAGCCUAGAUGGACUCAACUGUGUUCCACUUUCUAAGUGAAGCAGAAGUGUGGGAUGUGGGAUGAUAACUGGCUUUAUUCCUCAUUGCAACUCUAACCAUUUGGAAGCCAACAACCUGGGCAUUUUGUAAAAUUAUUCACCUCAGCUCAGCAAGAACAAGUGCCUCUGCUGAUUAACAAUGUCUGUCCCACACAUGGGCAGCGGUUUCCUAAUGUAAUCACCAAACCUAGCUCCUCUACAAAGAAGAUGGUUUCUCCUUCCCAGCUAUACUGCUGGAAAAGGGUAGAGUUCAAAUCUCAUCCAUGCAUCGGACAGACUUCAUGGCUUGCAUCAAGGCUUCCCUUCCUUCUUUCCAGAAUUUCUGGCCACAAAUAUGACCACAGAGUUGGUGUAAGAGAAAGAGAUGAUGAAAGGAUGAAACCAAAAAUGUGCAAAAGAAGAGCUGAGAGUUGUUGCUUUCUCUACGACAGCUCAGUAUUUCAGCUCAUCACACCUUUAGGAAAAUUUUCCCUGAGUGCUCUUCCCCUAACUAGGUCUGACCUCCUGUUUUAUGGUACUACAGGUUUUUUUGUUUUUAUGUUUUUUUUUUUUUUUUACAAAAAUACAUUUACUUCAUAGAACUAAGCACAGUUUAUAAUUACUUUUAUUUAUGAUCAGUUGAAAAUCUUUUUGCCUCCCACUAGACUGCGAGUUGAGCUCCACAAAGGCUGGAACUCGGUUUUGUCCUCGGAUGGAACCAGAGUCUCGGGAAAGAACAUGGCUUCCUCCUUGCCCCACAUUCACGCUGGGGAUAAACUGCUACUGAACAUACCACAUGGACAAGAAAUGCUCAGUAAUGCUUUUAAGGGGAAGGGUGGAUGGCGUAUUGUAAUCAAGAAAACAUGUGCAUACAUCAUUGAGACGUAACUUAGGUCUCGCGUCAGGGAUUUUUGGGUUAUCUGCUGGUAGAGAUACAUGUGAAUGGUAUAAACUUCUACUGGGAAUCCACAUGAACCUCCUUCUACUAGUGAAGGCAUGUGGCCACCUCUCACUCUUACCAAUGCCUGGACAUAAUAAAUCCUCAAA
Molecule: long non-coding RNA, 1695 nt
Organism: Camelus dromedarius (Arabian camel)
Lineage: Eukaryota; Metazoa; Chordata; Mammalia; Artiodactyla; Camelidae
Exons: 4
Source: RefSeq, a predicted model, not a curated record